Molecule: long non-coding RNA, 657 nt
Filed under: Sus scrofa (pig)
Lineage: Eukaryota; Metazoa; Chordata; Mammalia; Artiodactyla; Suidae
Description: lncRNA (ENSSSCG00055002807.1)
Source: RNAcentral
GCCAGCCCCCGUGGGUUCACCUUUACAGCAUCUGAAACUAGGACAAGAGCCAAAUUUUCCAAAAUGCCAGAAGGGGUAACAAAGAAGUAACCAGUUGGAAGCUGAGGACUGGCAAAGUUCAAGACAAAAAUGAAGAAGCUGUGAUAAAGUCCCUCAAGCUUCAUGUGGCUGUACCUCCAGAGGCACCUGAGGGUUCCUACACUCUGAGAGGAUCAAGAAGAACAGAUGUACAAUCCACUUACUUUUGAGAUGAUAUUCAUCUAAUGCUGACCCUCUUGUCUAUUUGGGUAUCACCCCAUAAACUGAGCGGCCUGGUGGGAUGAAGGGCACAGGAUAACUGAGUGAGUUUCUACACAAAUCAAUUCAUUCAAUUCUUUGCUCAAACAUGACCCUCCUCAUCAGUGGCUUCCUUAUUUAACAUAGCCAGUUACUCUUUAUUCUCUCAUUCUGUUUGGUUUUAUUCAUAGCAUUUGUUUAUCACUAUUCCAAUUUAUACGAGUUGUUAAUUUGCCAAAUAUUAACCAGAAUGUAAGUUUGAUGAGGAAAGAAGCCUUUCUCAUUUUCACCUGUGUGUCCAUUGCCUAGAAGAAUAUCUGGUGCAUGGCAGGCACUCAGUUUCUAUUGAAUGAAUUAUGAGUGAAUGAAUGAAUGAUCUUU